GGAUACGUGCCUGAAAACUAAGGACCUCCUUGAUAGGGAGAAUUAUAGGGGUUAAAACCCCCUCGUUUCCU
This 71-nucleotide transfer RNA is filed under the name Anomaloglossus baeobatrachus. Its description in RNAcentral is "tRNA-Ile". It matches the Rfam family "tRNA". From Rfam's summary of the family: Transfer RNA (tRNA) molecules are approximately 80 nucleotides in length. Their secondary structure includes four short double-helical elements and three loops (D, anti-codon, and T loops). Lineage: Eukaryota; Metazoa; Chordata; Amphibia; Anura; Aromobatidae. The record is from RNAcentral.